This 253-nucleotide ribosomal RNA is filed under the name uncultured bacterium. Its description in RNAcentral is "partial 16S ribosomal RNA". It matches the Rfam family "Bacterial small subunit ribosomal RNA", at positions 524 to 776 of the family's 1533-position model. The record is from RNAcentral.
UACGUAGGGGGCUAGCGUUGUCCGGAUUUAUUGGGCGUAAAGAGCGUGUAGGCGGCCACGCAGGUCCGUUGUGAAAACUGGAGGCUCAACCUCCAGCUGUCGACGGAAACCGUAUGGCUAGAGUCCGGAAGAGGAGAGUGGAAUUCCUGGUGUAGCGGUGAAAUGCGCAGAUAUCAGGAAGAACACCAAUGGCGAAGGCAGCUCUCUGGGACGGUACUGACGCUGAGACGCGAAAGCGUGGGGAGCGAACAGG